AGGAAAAGGAGAACCAUCGCAGAGACAGACAAGAAAUGAAGACGGCUCAGGGCUGUGAGGGAGCAAGAAGGGAUGAGCGCGGCUAUCUGGAUAAAGAAAAGGAGCAAGCCCUGCGGGAACAGGUACAGGAGAUGGGAAGAGAGCCAGCAACGAAAGUGGACAGGGACCUCUAGGGAACAGAAGCCAAGGCUUUCUGGGGCCUUGCUGUUUCCAUAGCAACGAAGCCUGCUGCCCAGGCACUAGGAGAACCAGGGGGCUCAAGGACCAGAAAAAGGAAUGUUUGACCUUGGUUUUGCCACAUGUACUAGUCCCACCCAGAAGCCAUUCCUCCCACUCCCUCACCUUCACUGCAGUCAAAGAAAGUAUCAUUAAAGAGAGUCAAACAGAAAGAAAGAAAAGAAUAAGGCAACCAUGUGAGUAAGUGAUUGGGACAGAACAAGAGGCCAGCAAAAAGGAAAGAGGCGGGUCUGGGGCUGGACAGUGGCUGCCAAGGCCAAGUGGAGAAACGAGGCCAUUUCUCGACUCCUCAGCCCUGCCUCCAGUCUCCUGGGGUGGGUGGCAAAGCUAGCUACUCUGGAGCCUGCGCCUCCACGGGCUCCAGUCCCUUUACCACCGGAGACCUGGGUCAGCCCAGAGACGCCAAGAGGCCUGAGGAGCAGCCAAAGAGAACCUGAAAGCCUUCGAGAAGAGGGACAGAAAAAGAGAUGAGCAAGUGUGGAAAGAAAACCCGAAGAUGGUGAGGAGAGAGAGAGAGAACCUGAGUAGGGGAGGUCGGAGCAUGACUUCAAGGGACUGGUGGAGGGAUUCUACUGGGGUGAGCCUGUAGGGGCGGCGGAGGGGCUCAGCAGAGCACAAACAAGAUCUGGGCUGAACAAGCCCUGAAGCACCAGGGGGCGCUCUCCCCUAUCUCGCCGGUCUGGCGCGACUGGGAACUACAACUCCCAGCAGCGCUUGCACAAUUACCGCCCCUAAUUGCUCCGGACCGAGAAAGGAAGAUAAUAGCUGAUGCUCGUUUAUCUCCCACAGUUGGGGAGUCUGUAGCCCUACAAGUGUCCCCAGUGAAUGUGGCUAGAGACUAGUUGUUGUGGUCCUGCAUUUCUGAGAACCAUGCAUGAGGGACAAAGCAGCUGCCUUCUUUCCAGGCCCAGCUCCCAGACCUCCUCUGGGAAGGUCUCCAGCGCCCCCCUCCGCCCUCCCUACUCUCGAGCUCUACAGCUGUCUGUUCUGCUCACUUGGCACUUACUGCCUAAUAACAUCUUGUACUGCUCCCUGGAGAGGAAAUGUGAUGUGAGAAAGAAGACCUGGGCGCUAGUGCUGGCUCCACCACCAGCUUUGUGACCUUCGCUGGUCACAAAGCUGGGCUCUAAGUCCCAGCUUCCCCGUCUGGAAAAUGGAGCUGAUCAUCAGGAACUGCACAGGCUGCUGUGGGCACCUCAGAAAGAGAAAGGGUGGGGUCCAGCUUCCUCAACCAUAAAGCAUCCCACAAAUAAACGACUCAUGCCAGUUGGUAACUUUC
Homo sapiens (human) is the source of this 1516-nucleotide long non-coding RNA. NCBI's taxonomy places the organism in Eukaryota, Metazoa, Chordata, Mammalia, Primates, Hominidae. The record is from Ensembl.